This 253-nucleotide ribosomal RNA is filed under the name uncultured bacterium. RNAcentral describes it as "partial 16S ribosomal RNA". It matches the Rfam family "Bacterial small subunit ribosomal RNA", at positions 524 to 776 of the family's 1533-position model. The record is from RNAcentral.
UACGUAGGGUGCGAGCGUUACUCGGAAUUACUGGGCGUAAAGCGUGCGCAUGCGGUUCGUUAUGUCCGAUGUGAAAGCCCCGAGCUUAACUUGGGAAUGGCAUUGGAAACUGGCGGGCUGGAGUGCGGCAGAGGGGGGUGGAAUUCCACGUGUAGCAGUGAAAUGCGUAGAGAUGUGGAGGAACACCGAUGGCGAAGGCAGCCCCCUGGGCCGACACUGACGCUCAGGCACGAAAGCGUGGGGAGCAAACAGG